Molecule: ribosomal RNA, 1723 nt
Filed under: Escherichia coli
Lineage: Bacteria; Pseudomonadati; Pseudomonadota; Gammaproteobacteria; Enterobacterales; Enterobacteriaceae
Description: partial 23S ribosomal RNA
Rfam family: Bacterial large subunit ribosomal RNA
Source: RNAcentral
GGUUAAGCGACUAAGCGUACACGGUGGAUGCCCUGGCAGUCAGAGGCGAUGAAGGACGUGCUAAUCUGCGAUAAGCGUCGGUAAGGUGAUAUGAACCGUUAUAACCGGCGAUUUCCGAAUGGGGAAACCCAGUGUGAUUCGUCACACUAUCAUUAACUGAAUCCAUAGGUUAAUGAGGCGAACCGGGGGAACUGAAACAUCUAAGUACCCCGAGGAAAAGAAAUCAACCGAGAUUCCCCCAGUAGCGGCGAGCGAACGGGGAGCAGCCCAGAGCCUGAAUCAGUGUGUGUGUUAGUGGAAGCGUCUGGAAAGGCGCGCGAUACAGGGUGACAGCCCCGUACACAAAAAUGCACAUGCUGUGAGCUCGAUGAGUAGGGCGGGACACGUGGUAUCCUGUCUGAAUAUGGGGGGACCAUCCUCCAAGGCUAAAUACUCCUGACUGACCGAUAGUGAACCAGUACCGUGAGGGAAAGGCGAAAAGAACCCCGGCGAGGGGAGUGAAAAAGAACCUGAAACCGUGUACGUACAAGCAGUGGGAGCACGCUUAGGCGUGUGACUGCGUACCUUUUGUAUAAUGGGUCAGCGACUUAUAUUCUGUAGCAAGGUUAACCGAAUAGGGGAGCCGAAGGGAAACCGAGUCUUAACUGGGCGUUAAGUUGCAGGGUAUAGACCCGAAACCCGGUGAUCUAGCCAUGGGCAGGUUGAAGGUUGGGUAACACUAACUGGAGGACCGAACCGACUAAUGUUGAAAAAUUAGCGGAUGACUUGUGGCUGGGGGUGAAAGGCCAAUCAAACCGGGAGAUAGCUGGUUCUCCCCGAAAGCUAUUUAGGUAGCGCCUCGUGAAUUCAUCUCCGGGGGUAGAGCACUGUUUCGGCAAGGGGGUCAUCCCGACUUACCAACCCGAUGCAAACUGCGAAUACCGGAGAAUGUUAUCACGGGAGACACACGGCGGGUGCUAACGUCCGUCGUGAAGAGGGAAACAACCCAGACCGCCAGCUAAGGUCCCAAAGUCAUGGUUAAGUGGGAAACGAUGUGGGAAGGCCCAGACAGCCAGGAUGUUGGCUUAGAAGCAGCCAUCAUUUAAAGAAAGCGUAAUAGCUCACUGGUCGAGUCGGCCUGCGCGGAAGAUGUAACGGGGCUAAACCAUGCACCGAAGCUGCGGCAGCGACACUAUGUGUUGUUGGGUAGGGGAGCGUUCUGUAAGCCUGUGAAGGUGUACUGUGAGGUAUGCUGGAGGUAUCAGAAGUGCGAAUGCUGACAUAAGUAACGAUAAAGCGGGUGAAAAGCCCGCUCGCCGGAAGACCAAGGGUUCCUGUCCAACGUUAAUCGGGGCAGGGUGAGUCGACCCCUAAGGCGAGGCCGAAAGGCGUAGUCGAUGGGAAACAGGUUAAUAUUCCUGUACUUGGUGUUACUGCGAAGGGGGGACGGAGAAGGCUAUGUUGGCCGGGCGACGGUUGUCCCGGUUUAAGCGUGUAGGCUGGUUUUCCAGGCAAAUCCGGAAAAUCAAGGCUGAGGCGUGAUGACGAGGCACUACGGUGCUGAAGCAACAAAUGCCCUGCUUCCAGGAAAAGCCUCUAAGCAUCAGGUAACAUCAAAUCGUACCCCAAACCGACACAGGUGGUCAGGUAGAGAAUACCAAGGCGCUUGAGAGAACUCGGGUGAAGGAACUAGGCAAAAUGGUGCCGUAACUUCGGGAGAAGGCACGCUGAUAUGUAGGUGAAG